GACAGUUUGGCCAAAUGAGUUUAAGUCACUAGAUUUAGGCCCUAGUCUAAAAGGAUGUGGGUUCAAAUCCCCACAACUAUUA
This is a non-coding RNA of Picea glauca (white spruce), 82 nucleotides long. Lineage: Eukaryota; Viridiplantae; Streptophyta; Pinopsida; Pinales; Pinaceae. The record is from Rfam.